GACGAACGCUGGCGGCGUGCUUAACACAUGCAAGUCGAACGGACAGGCCCUGCUUUUGUGGGGUGCUCGAGUGGCGAACGGGUGAGUAACACGUGAGUAACCUGCCCUUGACUUUGGGAUAACUUCAGGAAACUGGGGCGAAUACCGGAUAGGAGCUCCUGAUGCAUGUUGGGGGUUGGAAAGUUUCGGCGGUUGGGGAUGGACUAGCGGCUUAUCAGCUUGUUGGUGGGGUAGUGGCGGAACACGGCUUUGACGGGUAGCCCGCCUUGGAGGGUGGCCGGCCACAUUGGGACUGCGGUACGGCGCAGUCUCCUACCGGAGGCAGCAGUCGAAAAUAUUGCAGAAUGGGCGGAAGCCUGAUGCAGCAACCCCGCGUGCGUAAUGACGGCCUACGGGUUAUGAACCGCUUUCGCCGGUGACGAAGCGUGCGUGACGGUAAUGGGUAAAGAAGCACCGGCUAACUACGUG
This 468-nucleotide ribosomal RNA is filed under the name uncultured bacterium. RNAcentral's name for it is "partial 16S ribosomal RNA". It matches the Rfam family "Bacterial small subunit ribosomal RNA", at positions 28 to 507 of the family's 1533-position model. The record is from RNAcentral.